GAGUUUGAUCCUGGCUCAGGACGAACGCUGGCGGCGCGCCUAACACAUGCAAGUCGAACGAGCGAGAGAGAGUUUACUUCUUCGAGCGAGUGGCGAACGGGUGAGUAACGCGUGAGGAACCUGCCUCAAAGAGGGGGACAACAGUUGGAAACGACUGCUAAUACCGCAUAAGCCCACGACCCGGCAUCGGGUAGAGGGAAAAGGAGCAAUCCGCUUUGAGAUGGCCUCGCGUCCGAUUAGCUAGUUGGUGAGGUAAUGGCCCACCAAGGCGACGAUCGGUAGCCGGACUGAGAGGUUGAACGGCCACAUUGGGACUGAGACACGGCCCAGACUCCUACGGGAGGCAGCAGUGGGGAAUAUUGCACAAUGGGGGAAACCCUGAUGCAGCGACGCCGCGUGGAGGAAGAAGGUCUUCGGAUUGUAAACUCCUGUUGUUGAGGAAGAUAAUGACGGUACUCAACAAGGAAGUGACGGCUAACUACGUGCCAGCCGCCGCGGUAAUAC
RNAcentral lists this ribosomal RNA (504 nucleotides) under uncultured bacterium. Its description in RNAcentral is "bacterial SSU rRNA". It matches the Rfam family "Bacterial small subunit ribosomal RNA", at positions 9 to 526 of the family's 1533-position model. The record is from RNAcentral.